CCUACGGGGGGCAGCAGUGAGGAAUAUUGGUCAAUGGCCGCAGGGCUGAACCAGCCAAGCCGCGUGAGGGAUGACGGUCCUAUGGAUUGUAAACCUCAUCUGUCAGGGAGCAAAGGGCGCCACGUGUGGCGUUUUGCGCGUACAUGAAGAAGAAGCAACGGCUAACACCGUGCCAGCAGCCGCGGUAAUACGGAGGAGGAGAGCGUUAUCCGGUUUUAUUGGGUGUAAAGGGUGCGCAGUGGGAGUGCAAAGACAGAGGGAAAAUAUCGGGGCUAAACUCCGUCGUGCCUUUGAAACUGGCGUUCUUGAGUGAUGGAGAAGUAUGCGGAAUGCGUAGUGUAGCGGUGAAAUGCAUAGAUAUCAGGCAGAACUCCGAUUGCGAAGGCAGCAUACCGGCGCUCAACUGACGCUCAGGCACGAAAGCGUGGGUAUCGAACAGGAUUAGAUACCCUGGUAGUC
RNAcentral lists this ribosomal RNA (459 nucleotides) under uncultured bacterium. RNAcentral's name for it is "partial 16S ribosomal RNA". It matches the Rfam family "Bacterial small subunit ribosomal RNA", at positions 338 to 795 of the family's 1533-position model. The record is from RNAcentral.